Molecule: long non-coding RNA, 219 nt
Filed under: Elaeis guineensis (African oil palm)
Lineage: Eukaryota; Viridiplantae; Streptophyta; Magnoliopsida; Arecales; Arecaceae
Description: long non-coding RNA (EGUI_LNC046744)
Source: RNAcentral
ACAGGAUUGGCACUAGAGAAAGGGGCCUAAACCAUCGCAGUACCCUUGUUCUUAAAGGAGCGCUCAACAGGACUGUCUCCGGUCAUCUUUUUCGAUGUCCUCUCCUCCUUCCCCCAUUAGGUCUUCGCCCGAUGCCUCCCCGCAAAGCAUCCACGCGGUGAUCCACGACCUCUGCGGCCAGAUCUCAGGCUCCGACCUCACCUCCAGUUUCCCAGCCUC